CUUCAAUUACAUCGACAAGUAAUACAACGUAGAUCGACGAAAAAAUAGUCAAGCAACUACGCGUAAUCGAAGAUUACUCAAAAAGUAGUUAUCAGAUCUCGAUAAAAUUUAUAUGUGACUAUAUGAUAAAUAUCAGCUUUCGAUUAAAUUAAAAAUUAUCAAAAUCAGUACACCCAGUAAAAAAUUAUUACGGAUUUUCGAGAGUUUCCCUCGAUUUCUCUGGGAUCCCAUCAUCAGAUCCUGGUUUCCUUAUCACAGUACUAAACUAGGGAUAUCCCCUUUCCAACAAAAAAAGAAUUAUCAAAAUCGGUACAUCCAGCAGAAAGUUAUGCGGUAUAAUACAACGUAGGUCGACGAAAAAAGCGUCAAGUAAAAACGCAUUAUUAGAUAUAACUCGAAAAUUAGUUGUUA
RNAcentral lists this unclassified non-coding RNA (411 nucleotides) under Melitaea cinxia (Glanville fritillary). Its description in RNAcentral is "misc RNA ENSMCXG00005020960.1". The record is from RNAcentral. Lineage: Eukaryota; Metazoa; Arthropoda; Insecta; Lepidoptera; Nymphalidae.